GAUGAACGCUGACAGAAUGCUUAACACAUGCAAGUCUUUGGCGAAGCUGCGCUUGCACAGCCUAGCCAAGGCGGACGGGUGAGUAACGCGUAAGGAACUUGCCCUGCAGUCAGGGAUAACAGACGGAAACGACUGAUAAGACCUGGUAAAGUCAGGCGGACUCAUGUCCAGCCUGAUGAAAAGAGAUGCUGCAGGAGAGCCUUGCGUCCUAUUAGCUUGUUGGUGGGGUAACGGCCCACCAAGGCGAUGAUAGGUAGCCGGCCUGAGAGGGUGGACGGCCACAAGGGGACUGAGAUACGGCCCUUACUCCUACGGGAGGCAGCAGUGGGGAAUAUUGGACAAUGGGGGCAACCCUGAUCCAGCAAUUCUGUGUGCACGAUGAAGGUUUUCGGAUUGUAAAGUGCUUUCAGCAGGGAAGAAAAAAAUGACGGUACCUGCAGAAGAAGCGACGGCUAAAUACGG
Molecule: ribosomal RNA, 462 nt
Filed under: uncultured bacterium
Lineage: Bacteria
Description: partial 16S ribosomal RNA
Rfam family: Bacterial small subunit ribosomal RNA
Source: RNAcentral